GACAGAGGUCCCGAGCGUUUUUCGGAUUCACUGGGCGUAAAGGGUGCGUAGGCGGUUGGGUAAGUCCGACGUGAAAUCCCGUGGCUUAACCACGGAAUUGCGUUGGAAACUAUCCAGCUCGAGGGUUGGAGAGGGGACUGGAAUUCUCGGUGUAGCAGUGAAAUGCGUAGAUAUCGAGAAGAACACCGGUGGCGAAGGCGAGUCCCUGGACAACUCCUGACGCUGAGGCACGAAAGCUAGGGGAGCAAACAGG
Molecule: ribosomal RNA, 253 nt
Filed under: uncultured bacterium
Lineage: Bacteria
Description: partial 16S ribosomal RNA
Rfam family: Bacterial small subunit ribosomal RNA
Source: RNAcentral